RNAcentral lists this ribosomal RNA (440 nucleotides) under uncultured bacterium. Its description in RNAcentral is "SSU rRNA". It matches the Rfam family "Bacterial small subunit ribosomal RNA", at positions 26 to 518 of the family's 1533-position model. The record is from RNAcentral.
AGAGCGAACGCUGGCGGCAGGCCUAACACAUGCAAGUCGAGCGCCCAGCAAUGGGAGCGGCAGACGGGAUAGUAACACGUGGGAACGUACCUUUCAGUUCGGAACAACCCAGGGAAACUUGGGCUAAUACCGAAUACGCCCGUAAGGGGAAAGAUUUAUCGCUGAAAGAUCGGCCCGCGUCUGAUUAGCUAGUUGGUGGGGUAAUGGCCCACCAAGGCGACGAUCAGUAGCUGGUCUGAGAGGAUGAUCAGCAUCACUGGGACUGAGACACGGCCCAGACUCCUACGGGAGGCAGCAGUGGGGAAUAUUGGACAAUGGGCGCAAGCCUGAUCCAGCCAUGCCGCGUGGAUGAUGAAGGCCCUAGGGUUGUAAAGUCCUUUCGGCGGGGAAGAUAAUGACGGUACCGCAGAGAAGCCCGGCUAACUCGUGCCAGCAGCCGC